AUUGAACGCUGGCGGAAUGCUUUACACAUGCAAGUCGAACGGUAGAGGGGGCAACCCCUCGAGAGUGGCGAACGGGUGAGUAAUAUAUCGGAACGUGCCCAGUCGUGGGGGAUAACGUAGCGAAAGUUACGCUAAUACCGCAUACGAUCUAAGGAUGAAAGCGGGGGAUCGCAAGACCUCGCGCGAUUGGAGCGGCCGAUAUCAGAUUAGGUAGUUGGUGGGGGCAAGGCUCACCAAGCCAACGAUCUGUGGCGGGUCUGAGAGGACGAACAGCCACCCUGGAACUGAGACGCGGUCCAGACUCCUACGGGAGGCAACAGUAGGGAAUUUUGGACAAUGGACUCAAGUCUGAUCCAGCCAUUCCGCGUGCAGGAUGAAGGCCCUCGGGUUGUAAACUGCUUUUGUACGGAACGAAAAGGUCUCUCUUAAUACGGGGGACUCAUGACGGUACCGUAAGAAUAAGCACCGGCUAACUACGUGCCAGCAGCCGCCGUAA
This 496-nucleotide ribosomal RNA is filed under the name uncultured bacterium. Its description in RNAcentral is "partial 16S ribosomal RNA". It matches the Rfam family "Bacterial small subunit ribosomal RNA", at positions 30 to 523 of the family's 1533-position model. The record is from RNAcentral.